Molecule: non-coding RNA, 115 nt
Organism: Triticum aestivum (bread wheat)
Lineage: Eukaryota; Viridiplantae; Streptophyta; Magnoliopsida; Poales; Poaceae
Source: Rfam
GAUAUACUCCCUUCGUUCGGAAUUACUUGUUGCAGAAAUGGAUGUAUUUAGAUGUAUUUAAGUUCUAGAUACAUCCAUUUCCGAGACAAGUAAUUCCGAACGGAGGGAGUAGUAU